UACAGAGGGUGCAAGCGUUAAUCGGAGUUACUGGGCGUAAAGGGCGCGUAGGUGGAUAUCUAAGUCGGAUGUGAAAUCCCCGGGCUUAACCUGGGAAUUGCAUUCGAUACUGGGUAUCUCGAGUAUGGUAGAGGAAAGCGGAAUUCCCGGUGUAGCGGUGAAAUGCGUAGAUAUCGGGAAGAACAUCAGGGCGAAGGCGGCUUUCUGGCCCAAUACUGACACUGAGGCGCGAAAGCGUGGGGAGCAAACAGG
RNAcentral lists this ribosomal RNA (252 nucleotides) under uncultured bacterium. RNAcentral describes it as "partial 16S ribosomal RNA". It matches the Rfam family "Bacterial small subunit ribosomal RNA", at positions 524 to 776 of the family's 1533-position model. The record is from RNAcentral.